UACAGAGGGGGCAAGCGUUGUUCGGAAUUACUGGGCGUAAAGGGCGCGUAGGCGGUGUGUCAAGUCAGGCGUGAAAGCCCCGGGCUCAACCUGGGAACCGCGCUUGAGACUGGCACGCUCGAGUUCGGGAGAGGAUGGUGGAAUUCCCAGUGUAGAGGUGAAAUUCGUAGAUAUUGGGAAGAACACCGAUGGCGAAGGCAGCCAUCUGGACCGACACUGACGCUGAGGCGCGAAAGCGUGGGGAGCAAACAGG
This 253-nucleotide ribosomal RNA is filed under the name uncultured bacterium. RNAcentral's name for it is "partial 16S ribosomal RNA". It matches the Rfam family "Bacterial small subunit ribosomal RNA", at positions 524 to 776 of the family's 1533-position model. The record is from RNAcentral.